UCCCUGGAGGACUAGUGGUUAGGGCUCGGCGCUCUCACUGCCACAGCCCACGUUCGAUUCCUGGCCAGGGAC
This 72-nucleotide transfer RNA is filed under the name Pangasianodon hypophthalmus (striped catfish). It matches the Rfam family "tRNA". From Rfam's summary of the family: Transfer RNA (tRNA) molecules are approximately 80 nucleotides in length. Their secondary structure includes four short double-helical elements and three loops (D, anti-codon, and T loops). Further hydrogen bonds mediate the characteristic L-shaped molecular structure. tRNAs have two regions of fundamental functional importance: the anti-codon, which is responsible for specific mRNA codon recognition, and the 3' end, to which the tRNAs corresponding amino acid is attached (by aminoacyl-tRNA synthetases). tRNAs cope with the degeneracy of the genetic code in two manners: having more than one tRNA (with a specific anti-codon) for a particular amino acid; and 'wobble' base-pairing, i.e. permitting non-standard base-pairing at the 3rd anti-codon position. The record is from Rfam by way of RNAcentral. Lineage: Eukaryota; Metazoa; Chordata; Actinopteri; Siluriformes; Pangasiidae.